UCUAAUAUGGCAGAUUAGUGCAAUGAACUUAAGCUUCAUAUAUAAAGUUUUUUUCUUUUAUUAGAA
This 66-nucleotide transfer RNA is filed under the name Oreodytes davisii. RNAcentral's name for it is "tRNA-Leu". The record is from RNAcentral. Lineage: Eukaryota; Metazoa; Arthropoda; Insecta; Coleoptera; Dytiscidae.